AAACCAACCGGGAUUGCCUCAGUAACGGCGAGUGAAGCGGCAAAAGCUCAAAUUUGAAAUCUGGCUCCUUCGGGGUCCGAGUUGUAAUUUGAAGAAGCGACUUUGGUGUGGGCUCUUGUCUAUGUUCCUUGGAACAGGACGUCACAGAGGGUGAGAAUCCCGUGCGAUGAGAAGCCCAUUGCCGUGUAAAGCGUUUUCGACGAGUCGAGUUGUUUGGGAAUGCAGCUCUAAGUGGGUGGUAAAUUCCAUCUAAAGCUAAAUAUUGGCGAGAGACCGAUAGCGAACAAGUACAGUGAUGGAAAGAUGAAAAGAACUUUGAAAAGAGAGUGAAAAAGUACGUGAAAUUGUUGAAAGGGAAGGGCUUGAGAUCAGACUUUGUUUUUCCAUGGUGCUCUUUCGGGGGCGCCCUCUGGGUCUACAGGGCCAGCAUGGGUUCUGCGGGCGAGACAAUAGCGCAGGAACGUGGCUCUGCUUCGGUGGAGUGUUAUAGCCUGGGCAGAUGUCGCCACGCGGGACCGAGGACUGCGGUACUAGGAUGCUGGCAUAAUGAUCUUAAGCCGCCC
This 563-nucleotide ribosomal RNA is filed under the name [Candida] sp. RNAcentral describes it as "eukaryotic LSU rRNA". It matches the Rfam family "Eukaryotic large subunit ribosomal RNA", at positions 62 to 650 of the family's 3401-position model. The record is from RNAcentral. Lineage: Eukaryota; Fungi; Ascomycota; Saccharomycetes; Saccharomycetales.